This 404-nucleotide ribosomal RNA is filed under the name uncultured Alphaproteobacteria bacterium. RNAcentral's name for it is "bacterial SSU rRNA". It matches the Rfam family "Bacterial small subunit ribosomal RNA", at positions 44 to 495 of the family's 1533-position model. Lineage: Bacteria; Pseudomonadati; Pseudomonadota; Alphaproteobacteria. The record is from RNAcentral.
AGGCCUAACACAUGCAAGUCGAACGAGAUCUUCGGAUCUAGUGGCGGACGGGUUAGUAACGCGUGGGAACGUACCCUUCACUACGGAAUAGUCCCGGGAAACUGGGUUUAAUACCGUAUACGCCCUUCGGGGGAAAGAAUUUCGGUGAGGGAUCGGCCCGCGUUAGAUUAGUUAGUUGGUGGGGUAAUGGCCUACCAAGACUACGAUCUAUAGCUGGUUUGAGAGGAUGAUCAGCAACACUGGGACUGAGACACGGCCCAGACUCCUACGGGAGGCAGCAGUGGGGAAUCUUAGACAAUGGGGGCAACCCUGAUCUAGCGAUGCCGCGUGAGUGAUGAAGGCCUUAGGGUCGUAAAGCUCUUUCGCCUGUGAUGAUAAUAACAGUAGCAGGUGGUGAAGCCCCG